Molecule: ribosomal RNA, 795 nt
Filed under: Bacillus cereus
Lineage: Bacteria; Bacillati; Bacillota; Bacilli; Caryophanales; Bacillaceae
Description: bacterial SSU rRNA
Rfam family: Bacterial small subunit ribosomal RNA
Source: RNAcentral
AUACAUGCAAGUCGAGCGAAUGGAUUAAGAGCUUGCUCUUAUGAAGUUAGCGGCGGACGGGUGAGUAACACGUGGGUAACCUGCCCAUAAGACUGGGAUAACUCCGGGAAACCGGGGCUAAUACCGGAUAACAUUUUGAACCGCAUGGUUCGAAAUUGAAAGGCGGCUUCGGCUGUCACUUAUGGAUGGACCCGCGUCGCAUUAGCUAGUUGGUGAGGUAACGGCUCACCAAGGCAACGAUGCGUAGCCGACCUGAGAGGGUGAUCGGCCACACUGGGACUGAGACACGGCCCAGACUCCUACGGGAGGCAGCAGUAGGGAAUCUUCCGCAAUGGACGAAAGUCUGACGGAGCAACGCCGCGUGAGUGAUGAAGGCUUUCGGGUCGUAAAACUCUGUUGUUAGGGAAGAACAAGUGCUAGUUGAAUAAGCUGGCACCUUGACGGUACCUAACCAGAAAGCCACGGCUAACUACGUGCCAGCAGCCGCGGUAAUACGUAGGUGGCAAGCGUUAUCCGGAAUUAUUGGGCGUAAAGCGCGCGCAGGUGGUUUCUUAAGUCUGAUGUGAAAGCCCACGGCUCAACCGUGGAGGGUCAUUGGAAACUGGGAGACUUGAGUGCAGAAGAGGAAAGUGGAAUUCCAUGUGUAGCGGUGAAAUGCGUAGAGAUAUGGAGGAACACCAGUGGCGAAGGCGACUUUCUGGUCUGUAACUGACACUGAGGCGCGAAAGCGUGGGAGCAAACAGGAUUAGAUACCCUGGUAGUCCACGCCGUAAACGAUGAGUGCUAAGUGUUAGA